GGUCUGUAUACAAUCCUUAAUAGACCACUUUUGUUCAUCAUAUCUUUGCUUAUCCUCAAUCUAAAGUUGGUAUUUGAUCGUCUUCGUAGUGUAAUGUAUGGAGAUGAACGUCUGUCGUUCGUGCUGAUUUGUAUACGGAUUGCCGGACUGUAUGGAUCUUGAACAACUCUUUUUUGUGGAAACAAAUUGCUAGAAUAUACUUCGUU
RNAcentral lists this long non-coding RNA (206 nucleotides) under Mytilus galloprovincialis (Mediterranean mussel). Lineage: Eukaryota; Metazoa; Mollusca; Bivalvia; Mytilida; Mytilidae. The record is from RNAcentral.